UACGGAGGGUGCGAGCGUUGUUCGGAAUUACUGGGCGUAAAGGGCUCGUAGGUGGCCAACUAAGUCAGACGUGAAAUCCCUCAGCUUAACUGGGGAACUGCGCCUGAUACUGGAUGGCUUGAGUUUGGGAGAGGGAUGCGGAAUUCCAGGUGUAGCGGUGAAAUGCGUAGAUAUCUGGAGGAACACCGGUGGCGAAGGCGGCAUCCUGGACCAACACUGACACUGAGGAGCGAAAGCCAGGGGAGCAAACGGG
RNAcentral lists this ribosomal RNA (253 nucleotides) under uncultured bacterium. Its description in RNAcentral is "partial 16S ribosomal RNA". It matches the Rfam family "Bacterial small subunit ribosomal RNA", at positions 524 to 776 of the family's 1533-position model. The record is from RNAcentral.